CUUCGCUGGCAAUGGGUAAAGUGUCACCUUAGUGGUGGUGUUUUUAUCAGUCAGGGGCAGAGCAGUUGGCAGUCUUUUGUUCACCCUAGCUUGAAGCCUCGCUUGGUGGCCAAAGCUGGUUUGUGCCUAGAACACAUAA
Rattus rattus (black rat) is the source of this 139-nucleotide small nucleolar RNA. RefSeq annotates it as small nucleolar RNA SNORA48. The record is from RefSeq and is a predicted model, not a curated record. The transcript has a single exon. NCBI's taxonomy places the organism in Eukaryota, Metazoa, Chordata, Mammalia, Rodentia, Muridae.